UGCAGAGGUCCCAAGCGUUGUUCGGAUUCAUUGGGCGUAAAGGGUGCGUAGGUGGCGCGCUAAGUCGGGUGUGAAAUUUCGGAGCUUAACUCCGAAACUGCAUUCGAUACUGGUGUGCUUGAGGACUGGAGAGGAGACUGGAAUUUACGGUGUAGCGGUGAAAUGCGUAGAUAUCGUAAGGAAGACCAGUGGCGAAGGCGGGUCUCUGGACAGUUCCUGACGCUGAGGCACGAAGGUCAGGGGAGCAAACGGG
Molecule: ribosomal RNA, 253 nt
Filed under: uncultured bacterium
Lineage: Bacteria
Description: partial 16S ribosomal RNA
Rfam family: Bacterial small subunit ribosomal RNA
Source: RNAcentral